RNAcentral lists this transfer RNA (82 nucleotides) under Fusarium falciforme. It matches the Rfam family "tRNA". Rfam says of the family: Transfer RNA (tRNA) molecules are approximately 80 nucleotides in length. Their secondary structure includes four short double-helical elements and three loops (D, anti-codon, and T loops). The record is from Rfam by way of RNAcentral. Lineage: Eukaryota; Fungi; Ascomycota; Sordariomycetes; Hypocreales; Nectriaceae.
GGUCGAAUGGUGUAGUGGUUAUCACGUUCGCUUCACAAACUUAAUUCGCGAAAGGCCUCGGGUUCGACCCCCGAUUCGACCU